UACAAUUCUUAUGGUAAAAUACAGGUUAAAAAGCCAAGAAGAUGGACCUAGUCUACAACUUUGAGCAGAACUGAAAGGCUGAUUGAAAUGAAAAGAGUCCACAUAGGUAUAUAUCCCAAGAAGUGGGAUACAGUGUGCACCAUGUCAGCAGAACUUCAAAAGGGACUGAAAUCAUAUUCAGUGCAUAUAAAGUUCUUUCAGGGAUCUUAUAUGCUCGCACCACCCGAAGCUUAAGAGCCUGCCUGGUAUUCAUGGGAGAUAUCUGGCUAGCAAGAACAAACAUUUUUUGCUAUUCAAGAAGAAUCAGAGAGGCUUUGUAGAGGGAGAUUGUAUUUUGUAUUAAUAGUUGUACAUGCGUUGUAUAUAUAAGGUCUGAUGACCUUCGUUAUUGAUCGUAA
Ipomoea nil (Japanese morning glory) is the source of this 398-nucleotide long non-coding RNA. RefSeq lists it as uncharacterized. Lineage: Eukaryota; Viridiplantae; Streptophyta; Magnoliopsida; Solanales; Convolvulaceae. The transcript is spliced from 3 exons. The record is from RefSeq and is a predicted model, not a curated record.